UUAGAGGAAGUAAAAGUCGUAACAAGGUCUCCGUUGGUGAACCAGCGGAGGGAUCAUUACUGAGUUUUUGUACUCUAUAAACCAUGUGUGAACGUAAACUAUCUUGUGAAGAGAUGAACAAAAGCUGCCUUGGUAGUUGGGGGGCCCCUUCUAUAAGGUUUUCCACUACCAGCAGUAUAAGUAAUCUUCUUCACCACUAAAAACCUCUUUUAUUUUUUGUUAGAAAUUUGAUUUCAUUGCUGAGUGGCAUAAACUAUAAAAAGUUAAAACUUUCAACAACGGAUCUCUUGGCUCUAGCAUCGAUGAAGAACGCAGCGAAAUGCGAUAAGUAAUGUGAAUUGCAGAAUUCAGUGAAUCAUCGAAUCUUUGAACGCACAUUGCGCCUGGCAGUAUUCUGCCAGGCAUGCCUGUCCGAGCGUCAUUUCACCACUCAAGAACUCUUUUUUCUUGGUGUUGGAGGUCCUGUUCUCCCCUGAACAGGCCGCCGAAAUGUAUCGGCUGUUAUACUUGCCAACUCCCCUGUGUAGUACAAAAUUUUCCAAUUUUUACACUUUGAAGUUCUGGUGUAGCACGCCGCUAAACCUUCUAUUCUCAACUUCUGUUAGAAUACACUUUUCACAAGGUUGACCUCGGAUCAGGUAGGAAUACCCGCUGAACUUAAGCAUAU
RNAcentral lists this ribosomal RNA (667 nucleotides) under Ceratocystis fimbriata. Its description in RNAcentral is "eukaryotic LSU rRNA". The stretch from base 268 to 421 matches the Rfam family "5.8S ribosomal RNA". The record is from RNAcentral. Lineage: Eukaryota; Fungi; Ascomycota; Sordariomycetes; Microascales; Ceratocystidaceae.